CCCAACGCUCCCUCAAGCUACAACAACACCUCUGACCUUUAUAAAGGGCCUGACGGCUUAUGACGGCAACUGUCUCUAUCGCUCUUCUUCAUCUUCCGCCCCUCUCUCUCUCCUGCUGCCACUCUCCCACCCUCUGUCUCUCUAGCCAAACUUGAUGGCUCUCUCUCUCUCUCUCUCUCUUUCUCUCCCCUAUCGCUCCAUUGCUCCAAUACGAUGUCAUAUGAGUCUCUUCUCUUUCAAUCUCUCUCUGACUGGCCCCUCUCUCUCAAACCCUCGAUGACGCUCUCUCACAAACCCUCGCUGACCUGCUGCCCCUCUCUCUCAAUCUCUUUGAAACCCACCCCUCUCUCUCAAUCUCUUUGAUACCCACCCCUCUCUCUCAAUCUCUCUCCCACCUACCCCUCUCCGCCCCUCUCUAUACAUCUCUCGCUGCCCCUCGCUCUCAAUCGCCCUCUAUGCCCAUCUCACUCUCUUGAAAUACAACCUAAAACAUGAAAAAUUUCUCAAAAUUUCAUAAAUUUUCUAUGCUCAAUUGCUGCUGCUGCAAAGACAUUGGGACAAUCUUUGGUGCAUUGAGGUUCAUCCGAGGUUUAGAAUAAAUCUCGACAACCAAUUCCCACUAUUAUUUUGUAAACGCAGACCACAAUGUGGUCAAAUGCACGUCUUUAUCGCAAAAACACGAGAUAACUACAAUAAGCCUUUCUACAAAUGCUCCAACUGGAAGUUAUGUGACAUUGAUUCAUGAAAAUAAUGUAAAAUCAUAUUAUUGUUCAAUUGUAUGCACAAACUUAAAACCUUUUAUAUGUUUGUGUUAACCACUAGAAUGAAGUGGGAUGCGGCUAUCUAGUGUGGUGUGACGAGAUACUAGGCUAAGCUAGAAAACCCAUGGUCAGAAGGUUCGUGUCACAGAGGCCAGAUGUUUGUGAGGCCAGAUGUUUGUGUCACGAGAUACUAGGCCAAGCUAGAAAACCCAUAGUUAGAAGGUUCGUGUCACAGAGGCCAGAUGUUUGUUAGGCCAGAUGUUUGUGUCACUAUUGGAGUACAUCCUGCUCUAUAUGAAGAAGAGAAGACCAAAGUUGUUGCUAUGGUUCUUGAGAAAGUAGUCGUUGUAAAAUUUAUUAUUGUAUGCGCAAUUGUUCUUUUACUGUUGAUGCUCACCAUUCUUUUUCUUUUGAAUGGAAUGGGUAUUUGUUUCAUGGUAUCA
Long non-coding RNA from Amborella trichopoda, 1204 nucleotides. RefSeq lists it as uncharacterized. NCBI's taxonomy places the organism in Eukaryota, Viridiplantae, Streptophyta, Magnoliopsida, Amborellales, Amborellaceae. The record is from RefSeq and is a predicted model, not a curated record.